RNAcentral lists this non-coding RNA (46 nucleotides) under Candidatus Koribacter versatilis Ellin345. Its description in RNAcentral is "Acido-Lenti-1 RNA". It matches the Rfam family "Acido-Lenti-1 RNA". Lineage: Bacteria; Pseudomonadati; Acidobacteriota; Terriglobia; Terriglobales; Candidatus Korobacteraceae. The record is from Rfam by way of RNAcentral.
CCCACCACUCACGUGGUGGGCUAUCUCGUUCCGAGCCUGUGGCACU